CUCGUAGGCGGUCUGUUGCGUCCGCUGUGAAAUCUCGGGGCUUAACCCCGGGCCUGCAGUGGAUACGGGCAGACUAGAGGUAGGUAGGGGAGAAUGGAAUUCCUGGUGUAGCGGUGAAAUGCGCAGAUAUCAGGAGGAACACCGGUGGCGAAGGCGGUUCUCUGGGCCUUACCUGACGCUGAGGAGCGAAAGCGUGGGGAGCGAACA
RNAcentral lists this ribosomal RNA (207 nucleotides) under uncultured bacterium. Its description in RNAcentral is "partial 16S ribosomal RNA". It matches the Rfam family "Bacterial small subunit ribosomal RNA", at positions 568 to 774 of the family's 1533-position model. The record is from RNAcentral.